RNAcentral lists this long non-coding RNA (1266 nucleotides) under Heterocephalus glaber (naked mole-rat). Its description in RNAcentral is "lncRNA (ENSHGLG00100044188.1)". The record is from RNAcentral. Lineage: Eukaryota; Metazoa; Chordata; Mammalia; Rodentia; Bathyergidae.
GUGCCAUAUGUCAUCUAGAAAUGAAUCCUGUAUUCCAUGUAUGAAGAGAGGAGGAGUAGAAGUAUAAUUUCCUGCUGAGGAUGCCAUUUCAAAAUUUAGCUUUAUAGCACAUUAAUAUUUACAUUAAUAUGAAUUCAUAUUAAUAUUUUCUACCACCCUAUGUCAAAUUAUCACCAACUAAAACAAAAAUACCCCUAAAUAUUUUUAAGUCUUUAACCUGUAUACUACUAUAAAGCCAUAGCCCCUUCAACCUGUAUUUUGCAGUUUAUUUUUGUCUUUGCCUUUAUUCUUCAUAAAUAUUAUUUGGACAGUUAUGUACGAGAAGCGCCUGCCAACUAGAUAUCAGUCUGAAGUGAGAAUAAGAUUUUAAAAUAUUCAAGGUUGGGGCAAAGAAUCCUUUCCUUGUCAUUUUGGUACUGGCACAGGAACCCAGGGCCUCGUGUGUUCUAGGCAAACACGCUAAGCAUUGAUUUUUGAAUCAUCUUUUAAAAAGUGUAGGCCGGCGAUUUAGCUCAGUGGUUCUGGUGCCUGCCUCUCAAGCACAAAGUCCGAGUUCGAUCCCCAGUACCAAAAAAAAAAAAGAAAAAAGUGGACCACUGGCUUAACUAUUCUAAUAUCGUCUCAAUAAAAUAGGAUCAUACUUGGGACCUUGUACUUGGGAGCCAGGCGGCAGAAGCACUGAGCUAAAUCCCCAGCCCUUUAGUGCUUCUUUUGAAAGAGAAUUGUUUUUAUUACUCUUCUCUUUGUGACUGAAAAGUUGUGUAAUAGUAAGCAAUAUAGAAGCUACUUUUUAACUGCUGGCAAACUGCUGUAAGUGCACUUUCUUUGAUUAUACUUCCAUUUUAUUUUUUGGUUAAACUUGAAUUUCUGAAGCCUUUUAUGUACCACUGAGCAAAUAAUUUUACUUUUUUCUUUUCAGUACUGAGGAUCAAGCUCAGGACCUUGUGCUUGGGAGUGCAAUAAAUCCCCAAUGGAUUGCCUAUUCUUUAUAAUCAGUGACUUUGGAGUUUUUCAUUACUUGUCUUAUUAAAGCUUUGGAUUAAAAAAAAAUCCCAAGCACACUGCACUUUAUGGCCAGGCCUAGAGUGAAGAAUUCAGAAGGCAUUUUAAGCGGUAAGUUUCUAAAUUCCUUCUUUCUCCUCACAACUUUCCCUAGGCUUUUUAAAGCAUAUUUUAAUGUCAUUUAAAAUUAUGUAACUUCUCACACUCAUCUUGUUUUAUUUUUAUAAUAAGUUAAUAUUGAAAGCAUUUUUUAUGAGUAUAUUC